Molecule: small RNA, 753 nt
Filed under: Pan troglodytes (chimpanzee)
Lineage: Eukaryota; Metazoa; Chordata; Mammalia; Primates; Hominidae
Description: retained intron
Source: RNAcentral
CAGCUGCCGCGCGUGUGCACAUUCAGGUUCCCGAGCACAAACAUCAAGAUAACGUUCACUGCCCUGUCCAGCGAGAAGAGAGAGAAGCAGGAGGCGUCUGAGUCUCCAGUGAAGGCCGUACAGCCACACAUCUCGCCCCUGACCAUCAACAUUCCAGACACCAUGGCGCACCUCAUCAGCCCUCUGCCCUCCCCCACGGGAACCAUCAGCGCUGCAAACUCCUGCCCCUCCAGCCCCCGGGGAGCGGGGUCUUCAGGGUACAAGGUGGGCCGAGUGAUGCCAUCUGACCUCAAUUUAAUGGCUGACAACUCACAGCCUGAAAAUGAAAAGGAAGCUUCAGGUGGAGACAGCCCGAAGGAUGAUUCAAAGCCGCCUUACUCCUACGCGCAGCUGAUAGUUCAGGCGAUUACGAUGGCUCCCGACAAACAGCUCACCCUGAACGGGAUUUAUACACACAUCACUAAAAAUUAUCCCUACUACAGGACUGCGGACAAGGGCUGGCAGGUAAAUGCCUUCAGUUUGUUGUUAAAUAGAGGCUGAUGGAUACCGAGAAGAAAGUGGAGCGGCUGCUGUCUGGAACGCAGGCACAGGUUAGGAAGGUAGAAGCGGGGGUUGGAGCCUCCCGUCCUGAGAGGAAGAGGAGCUGGGGGCUGGCGCUGCCAUGCUCUGCCUCACCUUCGUGUGGAGCAGAAGGAAGCGUGGUUCUGGAGGAGCAUCUAGGCCUGCGUGCUUUACUGUUGUGGAAAUUCAUGU